This 265-nucleotide ribosomal RNA is filed under the name uncultured bacterium. RNAcentral describes it as "partial 16S ribosomal RNA". It matches the Rfam family "Bacterial small subunit ribosomal RNA", at positions 96 to 354 of the family's 1533-position model. The record is from RNAcentral.
UGGCGAACGGGUGAGUAACACGUGGGGCAACCUGCCCAAAAGAGGGGGAUAACACUUGGAAACAGGUGCUAAUACCGCAUAACCAUAGUUACCGCAUGGUAACUAUGUAAAAGGUGGCUAUACUACCGCUUUUGGAUGGGCCCGUGGCGCAUUAGCUAGUUGGUAGGGUAAAGGCUUACCAAGGCAAUGAUGCGUAGCCGAAUUGAGAGGUUGAUCGGCCACAUUGGGACUGAGACACGGCCCAAACUCCUACGGAAGGCAGCAG